Molecule: non-coding RNA, 26 nt
Filed under: Homo sapiens (human)
Lineage: Eukaryota; Metazoa; Chordata; Mammalia; Primates; Hominidae
Source: RNAcentral
UGCAUUAUACCUCAUGUGCUAGGAGA